RNAcentral lists this unclassified non-coding RNA (7084 nucleotides) under Mizuhopecten yessoensis (Yesso scallop). Its description in RNAcentral is "protein sel-1 homolog 1-like, transcript variant X7". The record is from RNAcentral. Lineage: Eukaryota; Metazoa; Mollusca; Bivalvia; Pectinida; Pectinidae.
CAAAAACUGUCUCUCGUAUGCGCUAGGCCAUUGAACUGAAUAUUUACCUGCUAGUGAAAGUAAAAAUACGUGGCACAACGAGGUUUUAGUACGUUUUAAAAUUGAUUUUAUAUUAUAUUUACAUCUUUUCGAAGAACCCUGGUAUGUGACUGUAUUGAACACGCCCUAAUUGGAAAAUUAAGAGGGCAUUUAAUGAUGGAAGUCAGGUUGAGAUGUAUAAAGCGUAAAGGACAACAUUGGACCGUCAAGACUUUUGUAUUUGCGCUUUUUUGUGUCGGUUUGAAUAUCAAGUUAGCAGUCUCACUGGACACAGGGGGUGUGGCUGCUAACAGUCUAGGGAAGCAGGACAUUGAGCAGUCUGACAGUGACCAAAGGGCAACCAAUAUUAACCAACAACAACCUCCAGCUGGCACAAAGCCCCCAACCCAUGGAAAGGGUCAGGACUCUCCACAUCAGGGACAAGGUAAUCAGAACAGUGAGCAAUUAGAACAGGUUAAACCUAGUACACAACCAGAACCAGAAAACCAUGAUGAACCUCAAACUCCACUGAAUAAAAUCCAACCCCAGGGUCAUGUUAACCAACAGGCAACACCAUCUCAAAAAAAUAAAAACACAUCUCCAGUUCCACCAGUACAAGUUAACCAAAACACACCUCUGACACAAGUUAAUCAGAAUACCCCACCAGUACAAGUUAACCAAAACACCCCACCGGUACAAGCUAACCAAAAUACCCCACCAGUGCAAGCUAACCAAAAUACCCCACCGGUACAAGUUAACCAAAACACACAUCCGGCACAAGUUAAUCAGAAUACCCCACCAGUACAAGUUAACCAAAACACCCCACCGGUACAAGCUAACCAAAAUACCCCACCAGUACAAGUUAACCAAAAUACCCCACCGGUACAAGUUAACCAAAACACACCUCCAUUACAAGUUAAUCAGAAUACCCCACCAGUACAACUUAACCAAAACACACAUCCGGCACAAGUUAAUCAGAAUACCCCACCAGUACAAGUUAACCAAAACACCCCACCGGUACAAGCUAACCAAAAUACCCCACCAGUACAAGUUAACCAAAACACACCUCCGGUACAAGUUAACCAAAACACACCACCAGUACAAGUUAACCAAAACAUCCCACCAGUAGAAGUUAACCAAAACAUCCCACCAGUAGAAGUUAAAGAUAUACCACAAUUACAGGUUAAGCAAAACGCUCAUCCAAGUUCGGAAACCCAGAACAAAAAACCUUCACCAGGUCCAAUUAAAACAGAGCAGGUUAGGGAAAACUUGCAACCAGAACAGGUUCAGAAGGGAAAACAUCCUGAACAAGUUUAUAAAAACAGUGACACAAUUAUAUCAAAACCUGAACAGCAUAUUCCUCAUCUGGUUCCCAAUCAAGAGCUAGAAGAAAUUGAUAGUGGAUCUUUAAAUCAAGGACAUCAGAAAAAUGAUAAAGAAAACAAAGAUAGUCUGGUGUUAGAUGAGUCCAAAGAUACAGCUGAAGAUGGUAGUAGAACAAAAAAAGGGGAAAGACCACGCCCGGUAGACACCCCACAGCCACCGAACCCCUCCUCUCCCUCGCCCAGCAUCAGUAACCAGCAGGAAAAUACUAUGUCAGAAGAUCCUACAGAAGAAGUCCAGCUUUCACCAAAAGAGCUUAAAGCUGAAGAGUUCUACAGACUAGGGGAAGCACUCAUCAAUACUACUUAUAUGAAAGACUAUGACCAAGCACACCAGUACUUCCAGCUGGCAGCAGGCCUGAACCAUACACAUGCCUUAGAGUACACCGGCUUCGCAAACCUGUUUGGGGACUACCUACCCCAGAACAUCAGCAGGUCCAUAGAGGUGUUCCAUGACCUGGCUGGAAGGGGUAGUCCCAGGGGUCAGCUGGGAAUGGGAUUUGUAAACAGUGCUGGCAUUGGCAGAAAUUCCAGUCAGGCAGAGGCACUGGUUUACUUUACCUUCUCAGCCCUCGGUGGGGAUCCUUUGGCCCAGAUGGCUUUGGGUUACCGGUACUGGUCGGGGAUUGGUGUAGAGAUGAAGUGCGAGUCGGCCCUGACGUACUACAAGAAAGUGGCAGCCACAGUGGCAGAUGCGGUGACAGUAUCUGGUGGGCCCGUGAUACAGCGAGUACGACUACAGGAAGAGGUGGAGAACACUAACUCCGGACAGAGUGCUCUCAUGGACGACGAUCUGCUCCAGUACUACCAUUUCCUGGCUGAUAAAGGGGAUGUGCAAGCACAGGUAGUGCUGGGCCAGCUGUACUACCAGGGAGGCCGAGGUGUUGGGAUCAACCAUGAUAGAGCUCUCCACUACUUCCUGAUGGCUGGGGAGUCAGCCAACGCCAAUGCAUAUGCCUUCCUUGGCAAGAUGUACUCUGAAGGAAGUCCAGUUAUCAAACAGAACAACCAAACUGCCUUACAGUUCUUCAGACAGGCAGCAGAGAAGGGUAACCCGGUUGGACAGACUGGACUAGGAGUGAUGUACAUGUAUGGCAAAGGUGUAGAACAGGAUUAUAUUAAGGCGUUCCAGUACUUCACACAAGCUGCUGAGCAGGGCUGGAUGGAGUCCCAACUACAACUUGGACUCAUGCACUUCAGUGGAAAAGGGGUGAGGAGAGACUACAAGCUGGCUGUGAAAUACUUCAACCUUGCCUCACAAGGCGGCCAUGUCUUAGCCUUCUUCAACCUGGCUCAGAUGCAUGCUACAGGCACAGGUGUGCUGAGGAAUUGUCACACCGCAGUGGAGUUGUUUAAGAACGUGGCUGAGCGGGGUCGUUGGGCGGAGAUGCUUUCGGAGGCCCAUAGUCUGUAUAAGGAGGGUAAUCUGUUUCAUUCGCUUAUCAAGUACACUUUCCUAGCUGAGCUUGGCUACGAGGUCGCCCAGUCCAACGUCGCUUUCAUACUUGACCAAGGUGAGAUUGGUGAUUUCCACGAAACAGAGAUCUUUGAGCGUGCAUUAUUGCAGUGGGCACGUGCAGCUGCGCAGGGGUCAACGUCGGCGCGUGUGAAGAUGGGUGAUUACCACUACUACGGCCAGGGGACUAAGAUAGACUACGAGACAGCUGCCUCCCACUACCGUUUGGCCUCAGAGCAGCAGCAUAAUGCUCAGGCCAUGUUCAACCUAGGAUACAUGCAUGAGAAGGGCCUGGGUCUCAAACAGGAUGUUCACCUGGCCAAGCGUUUCUAUGACAUGGCGGCAGAAACCAGUAUAGAUGCGCAAGUACCUGUCAUGCUGGCCCUUGCCAAGCUUGGUGUAUUUUAUGGGGUUGACAUCUUCAACAAAGAGAUGGAGGAUUAUAACCAACUGUUGCUGAAAUUUGACCCACGUUUCUACCUCGGACCAGACUGGGAUAUCUAUGUGAUGACAUUCCUUGCCCUUCUCCUAGGUUUCAUUGUACUUCUGCGAAGGAUCCGGUAGCCCCCCAGCACACUCAUAUUCAGAUUGAAACAGUUUAAGUGGUGCUACUACACAAUAUCAACAAUGGCUUUAUCACCUAGAGAGAUAAAAGGAUAAAGAGGAGAGUCGACAUUUCUUCUUAUAUAUGGCACAAAUUAAAUGAUGAAAAACAUUCUAUGCUUCUACACCAACUCAUGAUCUGAGGUCAUUGCUGAUCUGACUGGGUCAACAGUGCUACAGUACUAGUCCUCAAUCUACAGGUUAUGCCAUCACUUGUCUGGAAACAAAAUGUCAUCAAACUCUACAGUGCUUAGUGUACAGUUAAUGGAUUGACACUCGGUGAAUGUCCAGAUACAUUACAAGGAAUAAAUAUGGAGAGAUCUGACAUCAGUACAGGUCUCAUGAAAACCAUUUUUUUAGGAGAAACCUUGCCUUAAAACAUUACUUUAGAAUUUUGAAGAUGUCUAUUGAAGAUGUUGAUGAACAGGAAAGACAAAAUUCUCAAAAAUUAGAUAACAUACUAUACGAUUCUAGUUCUCUCAAACUGUUGUGCCACAGGGGUUUCAUAAUUGUUAUAGACACUUAUACUUGGAUAUGGGCUAUAUGAAAUUGUAGACCCUACUGUCCUCAAACAUCAACUGUUCUAGUCCCCAAUACCCUGACACAGAGAUUGAAUUAUAUUGUUGCCCUGUUAGAGAAGGUGUGUCCCCUAUGCCUAACAAGGUUCUGUCAGAGUUGGUGGGUCCCCAUGCCAAUGUUCCAUAAGGUUCUGUCAAAGUGUGUCCACUAAUACCUCACAAAGUUCUGUCUAAGUGGGUGCAUGAUAUAUUUUAAUGGAGGCUGGUUAGGCCAGCAAUCAUACUCCCAGCUAAAAGUGCCUGGAUUAUGAAACAGCGCAAUUUUAGGACAAUUAAAAGAAGUAGAAUAUUUUUUGAUGGAAUAUUGGAUUAUCCAGCAUAGUAGAGGCCAAAUAUACCAUACCUGCUAUAAGUUUCAUCUCUCCCAGCCCAGGUUUGGACAAUUUCAGUGUGUAAUGUCGCACCAUUUUGCAUUUUUCAUGUAAUGGAGGAAAGAAAAUAUCCAACUCUUAAUGAUCAGAUAUGAUUUAUAUCCAUUCUCAUAAGCUCAUUAUCCAGAAAAUUGUACUCCCUGAAGCUUUGUUUAUUUGGAAAUAAAUCAUGAUCAGUCAUAGUGAGUUAGAUAUCCUCCAUAUACUUUGUUAGUGUGGACAGGGGUUUCCAAAAUACAAUUUGUAGAGUGAGAGAAGGGGAAGUUAAUAUCUACUCUAGACUUACACUUGUUAAGAGAAAUUCAAUGUAAAAGAUGGGGUUGUAAAGAUGUUGGUAAAAAAGUGAUGAAUGAGGAAAAUAUUUUGAUACGUAAGAAUAUUUGUUAUUUGUGUUCUAUCAAAUCUAAAAUCUAUAAUAUAUAUGCAAACGUUUAUAGAAUCAUGCUAUUUAUUUUGUAAAUGAGUGUGGUAUACGUGUGAUGUUUGUAUGGGAAAUUACUAUGUGGUACAUGGUGUAUGUGUGCUUGUAUAAAUGUGUGUAUUGGUAUUGACUAUGUGUUAUGUGUGUUUGUAUGAAUGUGUGUACGGGUGUUUGCCAUAGAAACCAAUGGGAGUGCUUGAUUACUCUGUUCAAAAGAAAGAUAAAAAAGUCAGAAAUUUAAAUGUAAAAGUGUGAUUAAUGAACUAUUAGAAGAGUGGACUUGGUAGAUAGAGUGGUAUUUGUUGAUUGAAAACUAAAAGAGGAUUAGGAAUAAAUGGCAUGGUCAUAUAAGUUAAUACAUAGAUUUUGCAAUAUAAGUAUAUAAUGAUUAUUUAAAGUAUGGUAUUCUGGUGUUGUCAAAUAUUGUGGGUAAUUCUAGACUCUAGGUCGACCAAGGAAGCCUGUCAAGGUAGUUGUAAGUAUAGUGACCUCCCAAGGUACAUGUAAUUAUGGUGAAAUGUCCGAGUACAAGUAACCAUGGUGAAAUGUCUGGAUAUAAGUAACCAUGGUGACCUGUCAAGGUACAUGUAUGCAGAAUAAUCUACCAAGGUACAAGUAACCAUGGUGAAAUGUCUGGGUACAAGUAACCAUGGUGAAAUGUCUGGGUACAAGUAACCAUAGUGAAAUGUCAGGGUACAAGUAACCUUGGUGACCUGUCUAGGUACAAAUGACCAUAGUGACCUGUCUAGGUACAAGUGACCAUAUUGACCUGUCUAGGUACAAGUAACCUUGGUGUCCUGUCCAGUUAUAUGUAACCAUAGUGACCUGUCCAGGUACAUGUUACCAUAGUGACCUGUCUAGGUACAAGUGACCUUGGUGACCUGUCCAGUUAUAUGUAACCAUAGUGACCUGUCCAGGUACAUGUUACCAUAGUGACCUGUCUAGGUAUAUGUAACCAUGGUAGGCAAGAGAUACCAUGAAAGCCUUGGACACAACUAGACAGAUUUUUAUCUUCUUUUCUGCUAAUUAGUUAAGUUUGUUUAAUUGUUGUAUUUAAAGAAGAAUUUUCCAUGCUAUAUUUGUGUGAUGACUUUAGAAUUGGUAUUUUACACCUUAACACAGCAACUUCUGUACAGGUUUGUAAAUGGUAAUCAUGAAUGUCAUUAAAGGUGUUUAUAUAAUAUAAUGUGUGAACAAUGCAUUAUGAUAUAUCAGACAUUUUGUUCUACCAUAUCUUUGCAGCAUUGGUCUGUAAUUGGUGAACUUGUCUACAUUAGAUAGCUCAUGGUGAAGUACAGACGGGCUACCUACAACAGUGUGGUGGUCAAGCUCUAGUAUCACAUACUUGGUUUUAUGAGACAGCAUAUUCCCUGUACCUCCCCUUACAUUUUCUGUUUCUUUUUAUGGAAAAUGAUAUCUAUAUUAGCAAGUGUGUUGUGAUCAUGGACCCAUCUGUCGAGAAGCCCGACUCCAUCUACGACUGUCUGAUGUACUUUACUAUUAUCAUUUUUUUUUAUUUGAUGUUUUACUUUUACAACACCAGUAUAAUAGCAUGUUGAUGUGUUACAAACCUUCUACAAGAUCUAGCAGGUCCACACUUAACAAGUUUUAAUGCAAUCUUGAAUGAAGCACUGGAUACAACUGACUACAAAAAAGUGUAUCAUUAGUGGGAUGUUAAUUGAAAUUUAUUUCAUUAUUUACUGUAAAGUGCUUAUAUUUCAAGAAUUUUUGCUUUCGCUAUAUAUGUUACCAGAAACACAGGUGACAUAAAACUCUGAAACUGUUGCGGUUCUAAUCAAGUAGUUUUACUUUAUCAAUGGUAUUGUCUGUGAUUUGUUGCCAUUCUGAUAAAGAGUUUACCUAAUUUAAUGAUGUUGUGGGAAAUUGUUAACACCGCCAAAUUAAAUCACACAGAGUGUUCUAUAUUAGCUUGGUAUUUAAUGUUUUUAUUGUGCAUUUUUUUCUCCAGAUCCAGAGCAUAAAGUUGCAAUGUACAUGAAAUCAUGUAGACAUUCCGAUAUUGGUAAUAAGUUGGGGGUUACCUGUAUCCUUUUUUACCAUUAAUAUGUGAUUAAUGUCUCUUUUUUACCAGCUUGCAUCUCAUUUUUAACCAGUGAUAUAUAAUUAGCAUCUCUCCACAUCAGUGUCCGCGUGAAUGUUGUGUGCGUGUAAGCUGUGUGGGUCUCAAGCUGUUAGAUAUACACACAGAAGUAAUACAAACUUGUGUGAUACAGAAAUAAAACAUCUAAACAGUG